GAAAGGUUGUGUUUUAGCGCACAACUGGAUGCGUACAUACCGGCAUCCCAAUUAGG
Molecule: non-coding RNA, 56 nt
Filed under: unclassified sequences
Description: S4-Clostridia ribosomal protein leader
Rfam family: S4-Clostridia ribosomal protein leader
Source: RNAcentral